UGGAUCCCAAAGGUGCGGCAGCUGGAGGCUUGUGCUCCUGGAGGGAAAUCUGAGCAGGGCUCUCUUCCACAGCUGCCAUACCUCCUUUACCUGGAACCUGGAGAUGCUCCUUGCAAUGAAUGAUCCAGAGCAGCUUAUAGUCAAAGGGAAGGCUGACUCUGGAACUCAAGCCUUCUCACUCAAAGGCCAGUAGUCUUUGUUUCUGGUGAGGGCCAGAUGAAUGAAGCAUAAAUAGUUUGUCCUGUUUUAUCAGUAGCUGUCACAAGGCAUCAUUUCUUUGGCAGCAGAUCUUAGCACAGUUUAUAUGUUUAAUAUUUAACAUAUAUCAGUAACCUAUGACUCAAGCUGAUCACAGACUCAAAUAUAAUGUACCUUGUGGAUGAGCAAGAAGUAAAAAUAGUGUAAGCAUUUCAUCUUGGCCGGGAAAUAGAUAUGAAUGUUCAUGGAAGAAUGAACAAAGGAAGAGGCUUGCAGGUUGGGUCAAUUAAUUCUCUCUCUGGAAUUUUGAACUGAGAUUCACAGAGAAGCUGUUGUGAAGGAGCCAUGGAUAGCUGGAGGAUCCUCGCAGCAGAAGAUGUCUUAACUUCAGUGCAACAAAACCCCAAGUGAUAACAUCAGAUUUUGCCGGAAUGGAGUUACAUCCUGGCUGUCAUGCAGAUACCCAGGCCUCCAACAACA
This 678-nucleotide long non-coding RNA is filed under the name Homo sapiens (human). RNAcentral describes it as "HSALNT0377087". The record is from RNAcentral. Lineage: Eukaryota; Metazoa; Chordata; Mammalia; Primates; Hominidae.